Molecule: long non-coding RNA, 2114 nt
Filed under: Lytechinus variegatus (green sea urchin)
Lineage: Eukaryota; Metazoa; Echinodermata; Echinoidea; Temnopleuroida; Toxopneustidae
Description: uncharacterized LOC121421975
Source: RNAcentral
AUUGAUUCCAUUGAAUACAAUGUACAAUCACCGUGAAAAUCAAGUGUACGAUCAAUCGCUAACCUUUGUGUUAAAGUACCCUGAAUCCUCUUACCCCCAAAUGAAACCGUGGCACGACCCUUGAUGUAUUAUAUAUUUUUAUCAAGAUACAAUGAAGGCUUGAUUCUUGAUUUCUUAUUUAUCUGAAAUGGUCUGUAGAUAAAACCCUGAUCAGUUUGAUUGUUUGAUGUAUAUUUGUUCUUUUACUUAUUUUUAUUUUCAUAUAGGUUUUUAUAUGAACAUUGAAGGCUGAGAUUCUAAAACUUUCUAUCCUUGAAUGCUAAUAUAAUUCAGCAUCGUAGGUAGACAUUUCAUUUUAUAAAUUUUAAUAUGUAGAACACAAUAUCUAUGCCACAAUAUAUAGUAUUCAAGUAGUAUGAAAUAUUCAUAAUUAUUUAGUAAUAAUAGUAAUAAUUAUAUGAAUUUCAUGAAUGAUUUUUAAUAAGUGUUGUAUGGUUGUGAAUUGUAAAUAUAAAGUAACUUUUCUAUCACAGUUUUUCUAUAUAGGACCAAAUGGAUUGAAGAUGUAGGGAAGAGUCACCUCGUUCAUUUUGAAAUUUUAGAACAAUCGGGAAACAAACAGUACCAGAUAAAAUCAUUGUACUUUCGCAUUUUAUACAGCAUAUUUAUAUAUUUUAUAUUAGGGUGUCAAGUUAUGGGCUUUCAGAGGGAUAAACUUGAGUUCAUUGUUUCAUAUCCAAAUUAAUUUUGAUGAAAGAUGAAAAUCCAGCAAGUUUUCAAGACCAUACUGGAUGAUUCUGAACAAAGCAAAGGUCACCAAACAAGAUUUUUUUUUUGGAAAGUAUAAAGGUUGAAGAUUAUUAAAUUGUUUUAGAAGGAAAACCCAUUCAGUGCAUUGCUAUGGUAACCAAAUAAACAGUUUGUGUAGAUUUAAGGUCCUAAGUUACUGCACUGUCAUAUCAAAGUUUUAUUUUAUAGAUAAUUUUAAAUUUGUAUCACUUUGGUGUACUAACAUGUUAAUUUUUUAAUUGUUUGUUAUCGUAAAUAAUUGUUAUAAUGAAUUUAUAUGUGGUAUUCAUUUGAUAAAACAAUAAUCAAUCUGUCUUCCAAUAUUCUAGCAAUGCUGCUUUAUAAUGGAAACGGGAAAAAAAAUCAAGAAAUUUCUUGUUUUAAGGUGGAAACUACCUUCAAUAGAAUGUCCCAGGCAAUGGCUGCGAAGGCCUUAAUUUAAGCUCUAAAUUUCAUUUCAUUCAAUUUUUGACAAGCUUAUACAGUAAUUCUAAUUAUUUCUUGAGGUAAUGGUCUCUCUUGUACAUGCUAUGAUCAUUGUGAAGGUAUUUGGUUUUUUUGAACAUGUGUAUGUACAUUAUACCUUGUUACUCAGUUAACCAUGUUUGUAGUUUGAUAUGAAGUUUUAUAUAUAUAUAUAUGCAAACCAGUUAGCUUCCUUUAUUUGCUGUUGUUUUAUACAUGGUAAUUUUUUUAAAAAGUUUAUUAAAAGCCAACAAUUUGAUAUGAUAGUUUUUAUUCUCUUUCUCUGCUGCAUAAGAAGAAUUUUUUUCAUUGAAAAAAAAUCCUCACAGUGCCAAAACUAAGAAAUUUUAUUUUUGACUUUAAACAAAUUCACAUCUUUAAAGUUAUCCUAUGUUAAGGGAAGGAAUCGAAUUCAUUUAAUUCUGAUUUUAUUAUGUUUUGCCUUCACUGCACAAAAGUAAAGUUUAGGUAUUGUGACUAAAGUAAAGCAAAUGACACAAUAUUCUAUAUAGUUAUUCAUGUACAACUUUCUUCAAAAUCUGGAAUAAUUUUCUCUCAAUGUAGUAGAUUAGUCUUCCUUAAAUGUAUGAAAUGGUAGCUAAAUUUACAUAUUUUUAAUACAUAAACUUUAUAAAGCUUAUAUACUACGCAUUUAAAGCUUUUAAUAUGAAUAUCUGCUGAAGCAAAUCAAUGAAAAAAGUAGAACAAAUGUGACCAUGGCAUUAGUAAAAGAAAUAAUAUUGCAGAUCAUAUCUAAUAAUGUCUUUUGUAUAAUGCCUUGUGUAUUACAUAACUGUUAUGCAUCUUGUAUUUUGCCACUUAUUAUGUACUCCACAGUGCUAUGAUUAAAUCAUUUAUCA